GUGAGGAAUUUUCCGCAAUGGGCGAAAGCCUGACGGAGCAAUGCCGCGUGAAGGAUGAAGGCCUAUGGGUUGUAAACUUCUUUUCUCAGAAAAGAAUUAUGACGGUAUCUGAGGAAUAAGCAUCGGCUAACUCUGUGCCAGCAGCCGCGGUAAGACAGAGGAUGCAAGCGUUAUCCGGAAUGAUUGGGCGUAAAGCGUCUGUAGGUUGUUUAAAAAGUAUUCUGUCAAAGAUUAGGGCUUAACCCUAGAUAGGCAGAAUAAACUUUUAAGCUAGAGUUUGGUAGAGGCAGAUGGAAUUCCCGGUGGAGCGGUGAAAUGCGUAGAUAUCGGGAGGAACACCAAAGGCGAAGGCACUCUGCUGGGCCAAUACUAACACUGAGAGACGAAAGCGAGGGGAGCAAAUGGGAUUAGAUACCCUUGUAGUCC
Molecule: ribosomal RNA, 426 nt
Filed under: uncultured bacterium
Lineage: Bacteria
Description: bacterial SSU rRNA
Rfam family: Bacterial small subunit ribosomal RNA
Source: RNAcentral